AGUGAACGCUGGCGGUAGGCCUAACACAUGCCAGUCGAACGGCAGCACAGUAAGAGCUUGCUCUUACGGGUGGCGAGUGGCGGACGGGUGAGGAAUACAUCGGAAUCUACUUUUUCGUGGGGGAUAACGUAGGGAAACUUACGCUAAUACCGCAUACGACCUACGGGUGGAAGCAGGGGAUCUUCGGACCUUGCGCGAUUGAAUGAGCCGAUGUCGGAUUAGCUAGUUGGCGGGGUAAAGGCCCACCAAGGCGACGAUCCGUAGCUGGUCUGAGAGGAUGAUCAGCCACACUGGAACUGAGACACGGUCCAGACUUCUACGGGAGGCAGCAGUGGGGAAUAUUGGACAAUGGGCGCAAGCCUGAUCCAGCCAUACCGCGUGGGUGAAGAAGGCCUUCGGGUUGUAAAGCCCUUUUGUUGGGAAAGAAAAGCAGCAGGUUAAUACCCCGCUGUUCUGACGGUACCCAAAGAAUAAGCACCGGCUAACUUCGU
RNAcentral lists this ribosomal RNA (491 nucleotides) under uncultured bacterium. RNAcentral describes it as "partial 16S ribosomal RNA". It matches the Rfam family "Bacterial small subunit ribosomal RNA", at positions 29 to 506 of the family's 1533-position model. The record is from RNAcentral.